UGGGGAAUUUUGUGCAAUGGGCGAAAGCCUGACACAGCGACACCGCGUGGAUGAAGAAGCCCUUUGGGGUGUAAAAUCCUGUCGGCUGGAACGAAACAAAUGACGGUACCAGCAGAGGAAGCAUCGGCUAACUACGUGCCAGCAGCAGCGGUAAGACGGAGGAUGCGAGCGUUGUCCGGAUUUAUUGGGCGGAAAGAGUUCGGUGGCGGUUUGUUAAGACUGUUGUUAAAGAUCGGGGGUGAAGCCUGG
This 249-nucleotide ribosomal RNA is filed under the name uncultured bacterium. RNAcentral's name for it is "partial 16S ribosomal RNA". It matches the Rfam family "Bacterial small subunit ribosomal RNA", at positions 355 to 618 of the family's 1533-position model. The record is from RNAcentral.